CCUACGGGAGGCAGCAGUGGGGAAUAUUGGACAAUGGGGGCAACCCUGAUCCAGCCAUGCCGCGUGUGUGAAGAAGGCCCUCGGGUUGUAAAGCACUUUCAGUGAGGAAGAACGCCUGGUGGUUAAUACCCAUCAGGAAAGACAUCACUCACAGAAGAAGCACCGGCUAACUCCGUGCCAGCAGCCGCGGUAAUACGGAGGGUGCGAGCGUUAAUCGGAAUUACUGGGCGUAAAGCGCGCGUAGGUGGCUUGAUAAGCCGGUUGUGAAAGCCCCGGGCUCAACCUGGGAACGGCAUCCGGAACUGUCAAGCUAGAGUGCAGGAGAGGAAGGUAGAAUUCCCGGUGUAGCGGUGAAAUGCGUAGAGAUCGGGAGGAAUACCAGUGGCGAAGGCGGCCUUCUGGACUGACACUGACACUGAGGUGCGAAAGCGUGGGUAGCAAACAGGAUUAGAUACCCUAGUAGUA
RNAcentral lists this ribosomal RNA (465 nucleotides) under Vreelandella stevensii. RNAcentral describes it as "partial 16S ribosomal RNA". It matches the Rfam family "Bacterial small subunit ribosomal RNA", at positions 338 to 795 of the family's 1533-position model. The record is from RNAcentral. Lineage: Bacteria; Pseudomonadati; Pseudomonadota; Gammaproteobacteria; Oceanospirillales; Halomonadaceae.